UGGGGAAUCUUGGACAAUGGGGGCAACCCUGAUCCAGCCAUGCCGCGUGAGUGAUGAAGGCCUUAGGGUCGUAAAGCUCUUUCGCCUGUGAAGAUAAUGACGGUAGCAGGUAAAGAAACCCCGGCUAACUCCGUGCCAGCAGCCGCGGUAAUACGGAGGGGGUUAGCGUUGUUCGGAAUUACUGGGCGUAAAGCGCACGUAGGCGGACCAGAAAGUUGGGGGUGAAAUCCCGGGGGCUCAACCCCGGAACUGCCUCCAAAACUAUUGGUCUAGAGUUCGAGAGAGGUGAGUGGAAUUCCAAGUGUAGAGGUGAAAUUCGUAGAUAUUUGGAGGAACACCAGUGGCGAAGGCGGCUCACUGGCUCGAUACUGACGCUGAGGUGCGAAAAGUGUGGGGAGCAAAACAGGAUUAGAUACCCUGGUAGUCCACACCGUAAAACGAUGAAUGCCAGUCGUCGGGUAGCAUGCUAUUCGGUGACACACCUAACGGAUUAAGCAUUCCGCCUGGGGAGUACGGUCGCAAGAUUAAAACUCAAAGGAAUUG
This 543-nucleotide ribosomal RNA is filed under the name uncultured bacterium. RNAcentral describes it as "bacterial SSU rRNA". It matches the Rfam family "Bacterial small subunit ribosomal RNA", at positions 355 to 912 of the family's 1533-position model. The record is from RNAcentral.